GACGAACGCUGGCGGCGUGCUUAACACAUGCAAGUCGAACGGAAAGGCCCUGCUUUUGUGGGGUGCUCGAGUGGCGAACGGGUGAGUAACACGUGAGUAACCUGCCCUUGACUUUGGGAUAACUUCAGGAAACUGGGGCUAAUACCGGAUAGGAGCUACUGCUGCAUGGUGGGGGUUGGAACGUUUCGGCGGUUGGGGAUGGACUCGCGGCUUAUCAGCUUGUUGGUGGGGUAGUGGCUUACCAAGGCUUUGACGGGUAGCCGGCCUGAGAGGGUGACCGGCCACAUUGGGACUGAGAUACGGCCCAGACUCCUACGGGAGGCAGCAGUGGAGAAUAUUGCACAAUGGGCGGAAGCCUGAUGCAGCAACGCCGCGUGCGGGAUGACGGCCUUCGGGUUGUAAACCGCUUUCGCCUGUGACGAAGCGUGAGUGACGGUAAUGGGUAAAGAAGCACCGGCUAACUACGUG
This 468-nucleotide ribosomal RNA is filed under the name uncultured bacterium. Its description in RNAcentral is "partial 16S ribosomal RNA". It matches the Rfam family "Bacterial small subunit ribosomal RNA", at positions 28 to 507 of the family's 1533-position model. The record is from RNAcentral.